This 886-nucleotide long non-coding RNA is filed under the name Homo sapiens (human). RNAcentral's name for it is "HSALNT0143543". The record is from RNAcentral. Lineage: Eukaryota; Metazoa; Chordata; Mammalia; Primates; Hominidae.
CUUUUUUGGGGAUUGCUGUCAAAAAAUGAGGAAUGAUACUCGAGUUGAGAAUUGUAGACUGGAUCUCACAAAAAUUCUGGUCAAACUAACAAAUGAUUCACUGAAGAAUGGGGGCAGAAAAAAAAAGCUGGCUGCUUGUUCCCUCUUUCUAGUUAAUGAAUCGAAUUGAUACAGGAACUUCAUCGUGUUCUCAGGGAAAUCCUGUUGGCUGGGGCUCACUCUUCAGCACCGCUAAAUUUAGGUCACGGCUCAGUGAAGAACAAUUACAGAUUCUUAAUAAAAGAUAAUUUACCCAGUGACAUCCAACAGGACAUCUGGGCAGGCGUUCUCAUUUUCUUGUUAAUGUUGUAGAGGUGGGGAGCGUGGAGUAGGGAUGAAUGUUGACAGAAAGUCAUUUUCUGACCUGCUUUGUGGCAUAUGUCAGUCCAUGCUCUUCCAGGGACAGCAGACAGAGCAUGAAUGAGACCCCCAAAGAAGGGAAGCAAAUGAGACAAGCCCCACAAUUAUUCUGGCUUUUUGCCUAGAGACAAUCUAUGAACUGUGGGGCAAACAACAGAGAUCAAAACAGCUUGGCAAUCUGAGUUGAGGAUGAAGACACCAUUGGGGCAGAAGCAGCGAUAGCUCAAAUUUGUGGAGCAAAGUACCGGAGAAGAUAAACUGCUCCAAAUUCCAAGAGGCUGGGCAAAGAAAAACUUUGUGGAAAGAAGAAUUAUCAGGGAACUCUAAGCUGAAAAAUUGCCAGGGCUCACACAGACCUGGGGAAUUGGUUGAGUUUAUGCCACCUACAGGAUAGAGAACUUGCUGAAUGUUCAAGGAUUUUGUUACAGAUGCAAGAUGACACUUAAAGGGAUGCAAAACUAACAUCUCUGGAUUAGUCUUAAUAAAG